GUGCUCACUUCAGCAGCACAUAUACUAAAAUUAGAAUGAUACGGAGAAGAUUAGCAUGGCCACGUGCAAGGAUGACUUGCAAAUUCAUGAAAUGUACCACACUUUU
Perognathus longimembris pacificus (Pacific pocket mouse) is the source of this 106-nucleotide small nuclear RNA. The record is from RefSeq and is a predicted model, not a curated record. Lineage: Eukaryota; Metazoa; Chordata; Mammalia; Rodentia; Heteromyidae.